Molecule: long non-coding RNA, 787 nt
Organism: Biomphalaria glabrata
Lineage: Eukaryota; Metazoa; Mollusca; Gastropoda; Planorbidae
Exons: 3
Source: RefSeq, a predicted model, not a curated record
UCAGCAUCAUUAGUUAGUAUCAUAGACUAUAUAUUACAUGGACUGCCAACUCUACGCACUAAGCCUAUAUUUUUCAAUAAACAAGUCCCGUUCACGGAGGCGUCCUUGGUUGCGUGGUAAAUUGACUUCCGGUAGAUUUUUUUUUUACGUAUAAAGAAACCAUUCUCGAAGAUUUUUACCACCACUUUUACAGCAAAUCAUGAAUGGAAACUGAAUUGUUAAAGAAGAUGUUACAGAGGAGCAUACUACUUCCACAAACCUGAUUUGAUUGUCACUAACUUUCAAAUUGAAGGGGAUCUACUACAACUGCUCAUGAAUUUCGAGAUUUUACAGCUAAUAGAGGAACAAAUUUUAUCUGCUUCCACUUAGCCAAACAGCAUGGAAAUAUGCUAUUGUAAUGAGUAGAAGAUAUUUGUCAUUUAGAGUAUCAUGCAACAGCUAAUUAUCAGUCCACACAUUUCAGAUGAGGAAAAGAACAGUAUAAGCUACAUUCAUUGAUGCAUUAUUUAUACAAAAAUGUAUAGUCAACCCAGUCAUCACUCCAUUUUUUUAUGAAGCCAGUUACAGUUACCAUGAAGGGAUGAAAUUUCAGAUAAUAUUCUGUUUAUUUCAUGAAAUGAGAAUAGGCCUACAUCAGAAAUUGAAAUGGUCAUCUUCAGUAUUUAAUGUUUCAUCUAAAAAUGAUAAUUAUAUUAAUACAUAUUUGAUGUACAAACAAAUGAAAACCAUUCAAACACUUUUUUUUUGUGAAGUAUAGAUGAUUAAACUUGUAAGUGUCUGAACAAUA